Zea mays is the source of this 305-nucleotide long non-coding RNA. RefSeq lists it as uncharacterized. The transcript is spliced from 3 exons. NCBI's taxonomy places the organism in Eukaryota, Viridiplantae, Streptophyta, Magnoliopsida, Poales, Poaceae. The record is from RefSeq and is a predicted model, not a curated record.
ACGCAGAUCAGACAUAUCACUAUGCUUGACACAGUUAUGAUAUUUCUGUCGGUAUUCUCUUUCUACGUAUGUUUUCUGUUGCUCAUACACGCACAAUGUUGCACCAAGAGGGAAGUUCAUUGCAUUUGUGUCUGCAGAAGCAGAGACUGAUAAUCCCCAGUCUGAGCUAAAGCCUGGAAUUGAUCUACUUGGUUCUGUAGAUGAGAUUUUCUAUGAUAUCUAUGACAGAUAUGAACCAGUGAAUGAACCAUCUCUUGAUAAUUGCUUUGUCUCGACAAGCUAUGAUGCCACCACACAUUUUGAGA